RNAcentral lists this long non-coding RNA (2301 nucleotides) under Micromonas pusilla. RNAcentral describes it as "long non-coding RNA (MPUS_LNC000205)". Lineage: Eukaryota; Viridiplantae; Chlorophyta; Mamiellophyceae; Mamiellales; Mamiellaceae. The record is from RNAcentral.
CCAGAGACGUUCAACUACUCCAGCUUGUUCAUGGACUUCUCUUGCAAUCUGGCGACAAUCAAUGUCAUUAUUUUUACAGACUGCAUUCCAUUCACUUCCAGUAUACUCAGCAGCUUCACUGAGCAUUACAGAUAUGCUAUACCUUUCAGUAGGGUUCGAAUGAUUAAUCUGUUGUUUCAUCCAAGUUAUAAAACUUUUAAAGCAACCUGUUACUUCAUCUGAAUUUCUAGUUUCCAUGAAGUAAAUCUUGCAGAUUCUGGAAGCACUGUCUACAAAUGCAAUGAUAUAUUUUUCCCCUUUUAUUCCAGGGAACAUGAUGUAGUUUACAUCUGUGUUUACCAGAUGACCUACAAUUUUAACCUCUUUUGAGAGUUUAGAAUCCCGCUUUUGUGAGAUUGGUUCCCCCCCUUGCUCUGCAGAAUCUGUAACUUCCAUUCCUUGCUCUAUAUCCUGAGGCAGUUGUUGAAUACUAUAUAUGGAUUGGUUACCAGGGAUGAUCAUUGUAUUCGCCGUCCUCCGGGGAAGACCCCCAUCUUCAGGAUUGACCCCUUUGGCCACUUGAUGCUCACCAUCCUUCGGUGGAAUUCGGGUACUACAUUUGGCGUACCUGACUUGCUCCGGGACGUGAGUCCCCGCCUUAGGAUGAAGCAUGGCAGUAUACCAGGGUCGUUUCGGAGCUCUGGAUGUUACAAUGCGUUUCGCUUUUGUAAUAUUGCAGGCUGGACACACUGUGAAGCACUGUCUACAAAUGCAAUGAUAUAUUUUUUCCUAAGAAUCUCCUUAGAAUCUCUUGAGAGACGCGCAAGUAUGUUUGUUGACUGCGCUUAGUUUUAAGUCUAGCUUUUAAGACUGUAGUAGCUACCUUGGGUACAUACGUAGCUACGUACGUAGCUACGUACCUACCAGGGGUUAUAACUUUUAAUAGUAUUAAAUAAUGAGUAAGUAAAAGUUUACUUAGUUUUUCGAAAGGCGAAGACUUUUGCGGGUCGAGCAAAAUUAGACCGUCGAUUGUGAGUUAAAACUGCGGUACCUUGAAAUAUUUAUUUAUUUACCUUUUUUUCCGGCAGUCGUGUAUUUACUUAGUGUCGAAAUUUUAGUAAUAAGUUAUCCCCUGGUACCUACGUAGCUAGCUAGCUACGUACUUUUGUACGAAAGUACUACGUAGUACGUAGCUAACGUUUUACUGUAACCGGUGUGUUCAUAUGCGGGUUCAAAUAAAACUCAGCAGGCUCGCAAGUUACGAUCUCAAUAUUUAUAGGCACUGUCUUCGAAGACACGCGCGGCAUCGAUGAUGGCGCAUACUAUCCACUGAAGAAGAAGAAAAAAAGGAGCCGCCUGGUCUCACUUUUCCCAGCUCCUGCUUGUACAUAUCCCCAAUACAAGGUGUUUCACAGCUGCUUUCGGGUUCAACUACCAUUCUCAUGGAUCGUUCUGUAUCAUCAUACGACGGCACGAUCUGGAAAAUAGUAUCACGUUGUGAUUAAAGUUUCAUCAGGACCGUUUUCCACCGUUCAACAACUUCCCUUUUGUGUUUUUCACUAAAUUCUUGAAGAACUUGAAUUUGCUUUCCAAAAUCGGUACGUUCUAUGACAUCAGGCAGUGCUUCCCAACUAUCAAAAUAUAUAAAAACGUGUGCUAGUGUGGGAUCAUACCAUUCUGACGCGUCAAGAUUUUCUUUGUCGAAAGGAGGUGACCAGAAAAUUUCCUCCUCCGCCAAAAGAAGUUUUUUGGAAGGGAUGAAGUACGGUGUGCCUUGAGCAAUCAUUUCAAAUAGGGCGAAAUUAGACCAAGCAUACGGAACGUGGAUGAUGCCCUUGAAGCCUUUUACGUCUAGCGGACCGGCAUAUCUUCCCCGAUAACAUCGAAUGCCGAGUGUAGCACAUUUCGUCGGCGUUCGUUCAUCGUUGUGAUAUGGCGGAAUAAAAAAUGUGGUGCUCUUGUCAACUGUUAAAGGUACUUUUCCCCCACCAUCUUUUUUCACUACAAGUGAGUGCAAGUAGCCGUGCCCGGACGGUCGAAUAACCUGUCGGCCGACCUCUACGUUUCUGACAGUGCGUGCGUAUAUAUGCUCAAACGCAGUGUAGCACACGAUUGCGGUCUUCGAAGAGAGCGCAGCUUUGCGAAUAAGAUUGUAAUACUCCCUUGUUGGAAACUCUUCUGGGUGCUCGCCAGCGUAGCGUUCUGAUUCUUCUUCAGAGACCUGCACAGCUGGUGGAGCGUGUGCGUAGUCGAAUCGAUUGCUUAUCCAUAUCAGUAGUUUGCCUGGAUAGCCAUUUUGAAGAAAGAUACGAGCUAAGGGAG